AAGAUUAUUUUCUGGACAUUUCUCUUUUGUAAUAGCUUUAAUGCUUAUAUUACUAAUAUGUCUUCACACUGAAUGAACUAGCAGUACUUUUAUAUCAUUACAUGAAACCCCUUCUGAUCAUCACUGAUAAAACUUUUAUUUCUCUGAAUCAGAUCUGUCACAUUGUGUUUAUUUUCAUAUUUCUGCUCUUGCUCUUUUACUUUAUUCUGUUAUGGUUGAUUUCUUUCAUUUACAGGUCUGUUUAGAUGUUUUAUCUGUUUGAAGAUCUUGAUCUGUUUCUCAGUUUUGUAGUGUUUGUUGUUUUGCUGUCUGUGGUUUUGCUUAAAUUUGCAGUUGACUUUUAACACAUAUAACUACAUUCAUGCAUUAUUCUUCACAAGAUAUUUGCAUCAUAGAAGACUGCUAAACAUGUCCUUCUUUAGACAUUGUAAAUGGGGUCAUUGCUGAAUUUGUUUUUUGAAUUAAAUGGGAAAAUAAAACACUUUAAAAUGAAACAGUAUUGCCAGUCAAAAGUCGCUCAUACAAUUUUUAUAUUAUAACAGUCAAUUAACACUUUAUCCAACAGAAAGCAUACAUCAAUGAUUUUAAACAUAAAAAACAUGUAUAAAAAUAAUCAAUCCAGACAGAAAUCAAAUGAUUUUUAGCAAAUAAUUUCAGCUGUAACUCGUUUCCUUCUGCAGAUGUUACUCAUAACAAAGAAAGCAGCAUUGAUCUGGAUGAGGGAACUGGUGGAGACAUCAGCUGCAGCGUGAAGAACCACGUCAGUCACGCACAGAAGACCAUUAGACUCAAACCCUGUCCUGCUGAUGGUUCUGUUGGGUCUGUUAGGAGCUUUUCACAUCUACAUGAGACACACAUCAGGAAAGAAACAGGAAGAUCAGAAAGUGAGGAUGAGAAGAUUUAGAGAAGGACAUGAACACACAGCAGAAGAUUCAUGAGAGCAGCAGCAGAUCAUCACAUCUAUGAGAAAUGACUUCAUAAUCUCACAGAUUCUCACAUCAAUCCAGCUUUCAGCUGUCGACUGCAGAUCUUAUAAUAUAAACCCUAGAGAUUAAUUAAAAACAGGAGAUAAGACUUAAACCAGAUUUUCUAUGGUUUUGGUUAUGAAGAUUAUUUUCUGGACAUUUCUCUUUUGUAAUAGUUUUAAUCCUUAUAUUACUUAUGUGUCUUCACACUGAAUGAACUAGCAGUACUUUUAUAUCAUUACAUGAAACCCCUUCGGAUCAUCACUGAUAAAACUUUUAUUUCUCUGAAUCAGAUCUGUCACUGUCAUGGUCCUGCCAUCAUGUCCUGACUUUUCUCUAGUCUAGAGGCAGGAUCAUGACAGACCCGUGUUUUGUGUACAAGCACAUGGCCUUGUCUUUGGGCCAUGUGCUUGUGUUGUCUCGUUCCCUUGCCCCGCCCCCCUUGUUAUCCUAGUCUGGUCGUGAUUGUCCUAUCUGUGCCACCUGUCGUGUCUUGAUUAGUUCCCCUAUUUAGAUCUCCUAGUGUGCUCUGUCUUUUGUCGGUUCAUUGUGAUUGUUUCCUCAGACGGUUCCUCAUAUAUGUUCCUACCUGUCAGCCUCGUGAGUUUAUCCUUGUCAUCCCUGAAGAAGUCCUUGUAAUA
Molecule: long non-coding RNA, 1606 nt
Organism: Cyprinus carpio carpio
Lineage: Eukaryota; Metazoa; Chordata; Actinopteri; Cypriniformes; Cyprinidae
Source: Ensembl